Molecule: ribosomal RNA, 500 nt
Filed under: uncultured bacterium
Lineage: Bacteria
Description: partial 16S ribosomal RNA
Rfam family: Bacterial small subunit ribosomal RNA
Source: RNAcentral
GAUUAACGCUAGCGGCAGACCUAAUACAUGCAAGUCGAACGGCAGCACGGGUAGCAAUACCUGGUGGCGAGUGGCGCACGGGUGCGUAACGCGUAUGCAACCUACCUAUAACUGGGGAAUAGCCUUCUGAAAGGAAGAUUAACACCGCAUAAUAUCACGAGACGGCAUCGCCUUGUGAUCAAAUCUCCGGAGGUUAUAGAUGGGCAUGCGUGACAUUAGCUAGUUGGUGAGGUAACGGCCCACCAAGGCUACGAUGUCUAGGGGGUCUGAGAGGAUGAUCCCCCACACUGGUACUGAGACACGGACCAGACUCCUACGGGAGGCAGCAGUAAGGAAUAUUGGACAAUGGGCGCAAGCCUGAUCCAGCCAUGCCGCGUGAAGGAUGACGGCCCUCUGGGUUGUAAACUUCUUUUAUACGGGAAUAAACCCCUCGAUUCUUCGAGGGCUGAAUGUACUGUAAGAAUAAGGAUCGGCUAACUUCGUGCCAGCAGCCGCCGUAA